CGCAAUUUAACAUCGCAAAUGCCUUUAGAUUAGGCAUACCAAAUUUGGUGUUGAUCUGAAUAAAUCUCUAGGAGGAGUUCGUUAAAAUACAAGGCAUGCAAAUGACAAAAAUGAUGCAAAAUUUGCUCAUAAAAUUAAAAAUAACCGACUUCCUGUUGGGUUUCGGAUAUUGCUCCAAGAGUCUUUUUUGUAGGUACUGAUGCUUUACAUAUGUGUGCCAAUUUUCGUGCAUGUACGUGAAACACAGCUCGAGGGCUGUUGAUUUUUUUACGAUAGGUGGCGCUGUCGAGCCAUUUUGCCACACCCUCUUCUGAAACCUAUAUCAGAUGUAAAUUUUCACCAGGUCUGACGCGUGUGCAAAGUUUCAGGACUUUUCGAGCAUGUUUAGGCCCUCAAAAAUGCGAUUCAUUUUGGAGAAGAAGAAGAAGAAGAAGAAGAAGAAGAAGAAGAAGAAGAAUUAAAGCUGCAAGCAGCGAUGAACGGGCCCUCGCACCCGGGCUCACCGCCAGCGGGUGGCUUUUAUAAAACAGCGAACGGCGAGAUAUAUGGGUUUAAUGUGGUAAAUAUAAGAGAAAUAUGUCAAUGUCAUUUAUAUGUGCCAAUCUUCCUGCUGCCAGCUGGUGGCGCUAUGACUAUAACUGGAUUUUGUCAUGUAGAUUUCUUCAGUCCAGCACUUUUAUCAAGCUUAUGAAAUUUAGUGCAGAUUGAACAUGGAAUGUUUGAGUUAGUAUAAAGCAUGUUGUGUCCUAUUGCCAACAGGUGGCGCUAUGAUUAUAACUGAACAUUGGCCUUUAGAUAUCUUCAGGCCAUGACUCUUUUCAAAAAUUUGAAGUUUGGUGCAGAUUGGACAUUGCAUGUUUAAGUUAGUGUAAAACAAGCCAUUUUCUGUUGUCAGCAGGUGGCGCUAUGAUCAUAGUGGAAUAAUGACCUUCAGAUGUGUUCAGGCCAAGACUCUUUUCGAACAUGUGAAGUUUGGGGAAGAUCGGACAUCUUAUGCCUGAGUUACAACAACUUCUAUUCCCAUGGCGAGACAUCGAACUUUGUCACAGCGCCAUGGCCACACCCUUUAAUGAAACCUCAAGAUGUUUACAAUUUACACUGGGAAAGGCCUUUAGAUUAGACUGACCAAAAAAAUUAUAAAAUGUCAUAAAAUUUCUAGGAGUAGUAUGUUACGGCGUAAAACAUGUCACUUCCUGUUGCCAGCAGUUGGCGCUAUAGCGAUAUCUGAAUAUUGGCAUGUAGAUAUAUUCAGGUUAGGAGUCUUCUCAAACAUGUGAAGUUUGGGGCAGAUUGGACAUUGUAUGUCUGAGUUAUAGCAACUUCCUUUCUCAUGGCGAAACAUCGAAAUUUGUAAGGCCGCCACAGACACGCCCUUAAACGAAACCUCAAGAUCUUCGCAAUUUAACAUCGCAAAGGCCUUUAGAUUACACUGACAAAGUUUGGUGUUGAUCUGAAUAAAUCUCUAGGAGGAGUUCGUUAAAGUACAACCCCC
This is a long non-coding RNA of Cyprinus carpio carpio, 1492 nucleotides long. The record is from Ensembl. NCBI's taxonomy places the organism in Eukaryota, Metazoa, Chordata, Actinopteri, Cypriniformes, Cyprinidae.